RNAcentral lists this ribosomal RNA (506 nucleotides) under uncultured bacterium. Its description in RNAcentral is "partial 16S ribosomal RNA". It matches the Rfam family "Bacterial small subunit ribosomal RNA", at positions 30 to 523 of the family's 1533-position model. The record is from RNAcentral.
AUUGAACGCUGGCGGCAGGCCUAACACAUGCAAGUCGAACGGUAACAGGAAACAGCUUGCUGUUUCGCUGACGAGUGGCGGACGGGUGAGUAAUGUCUGGGAAACUGCCUGAUGGAGGGGGAUAACUACUGGAAACGGUAGCUAAUACCGCAUAACGUCGCAAGACCAAAGAGGGGGACCUUCGGGCCUCUUGCCAUCGGAUGUGCCCAGAUGGGAUUAGCUAGUAGGUGGGGUAACGGCUCACCUAGGCGACGAUCCCUAGCUGGUCGGAGAGGAUGACCAGCCACACUGGAACUGAGACACGGUCCAGACUCCUACGGGAGGCAGCAGUGGGGAAUAUUGCACAAUGGGCGCAAGCCUGGUGCAGCCAUGCCGCGUGUAUGAAGAAGGCCUUCGGGUUGUAAAGUACUUUCAGCGGGGAGGAAGGGAGUAAAGUUAAUACCUUUGCUCAUUGACGUUACCCGCAGAAGAAGCACCGGCUAACUCCGUGCCAGCCGCCGCCGUAA